AACGAACGCUGGCGGCAUGCCUAACACAUGCAAGUCGAACGAGAUCUUCGGGUCUAGUGGCGCACGAGUGCGUAACGCGUGGGAAUCUGCCCUUUGGUUCGGAAUAACAGUUGGAAACGACUGCUAAUACCGGAUGAUGACGAAAGUCCAAAGAUUUAUCGCCGGAGGAUGAGCCCGCGUAGGAUUAGCUAGUUGGUGUGGUAAAGGCGCACCAAGGCGACGAUCCUUAGCUGGUCUGAGAGGAUGAUCAGCCACACUGGGACUGAGAAACGGCCCAGACUCCUACGGGAGGCAGCAGUGGGGAAUAUUGGACAAUGGGCGAAAGCCUGAUCCAGCAAUGCCGCGUGAGUGAUGAAGGCCUUAGGGUUGUAAAGCUCUUUUACCCGGGAUGAUAAUGACAGUACCGGGAGAAUAAGCUCCGGCUAACUCCGUGCCAGCCGCCGCCGCAG
Molecule: ribosomal RNA, 449 nt
Filed under: uncultured bacterium
Lineage: Bacteria
Description: partial 16S ribosomal RNA
Rfam family: Bacterial small subunit ribosomal RNA
Source: RNAcentral